GUCCCCAUAGCUCAACGGACAGAGCACUAGCCUUCUAAGCUGGGAAUGUAGGUUCGAUUCCUACUGGGGACA
Molecule: non-coding RNA, 72 nt
Organism: Candidatus Wildermuthbacteria bacterium
Lineage: Bacteria; Candidatus Wildermuthiibacteriota
Source: Rfam